Molecule: non-coding RNA, 652 nt
Organism: Pelobates cultripes (western spadefoot toad)
Lineage: Eukaryota; Metazoa; Chordata; Amphibia; Anura; Pelobatidae
Source: the annotation of a GenBank genome assembly
GUUUGGGAUAUUUGGUUACCUGUUUUAGUAGUCUUAAUGCAACUAUCGCAAUUCGGUAUGUCUGUACUCCUACCUUCCUGAAAAAUCAUAAAAAUACUAAGACACAUAAUAAUAAAACACAUUAUUCCUGAAAUCCUCAUUUUUCUUCAACCGUGCGAUGGCCUCUCAGCUUCCCGAUUGUGAGGGCUGCAAGGAUGUUGUUCUUCUGAUCCUCACUUUCCUUCACAGAGAUCCCUUCAAGAUACUCUGGCUAUAACACGUAGGCAGGUGGUCAGGCUUUAUUAUGGCCGUCAAAACACCUACUUGAUGAUCUUUGUAAACUUAACUAGAAUGUCUCGAUAUCCCCUCGUCACUCCGACUGAGUUGCACGCUUCAACCGGGUCCUGCAAGGAUUCUCAGGAUCUGGAGUAGCUUGCCAAGAGUCUGCCGCUGAUUUAACCUUAGAAUGAUGAAACCAAGGAGUCACUUCCGCCACCUUUACAGCUGUUGGGGUAGAUAAAAGAACAACAUACAAAGGCUAACAGAAUACACCCCGAGCUUUAACUCAAUAUGUAUUGGUGGGAUAUUACGAGCAAGUCCUGGAGGAUUAUUUUCUUCCCAUACUCCUGGAAUGUCAAGUAAGGAUUCAUCACUCUUAGGGUUAACACUUGUC